Oryza sativa Japonica Group (Japanese rice) is the source of this 6801-nucleotide long non-coding RNA. RefSeq lists it as uncharacterized. The record is from RefSeq and is a predicted model, not a curated record. Lineage: Eukaryota; Viridiplantae; Streptophyta; Magnoliopsida; Poales; Poaceae.
AAGCUAGGAGGGGAGCAAAGGAGGUGCUGGGACUGAUGGAAGGGGAGCUGUUCAGGUGCUUGCUCGGUCAUCUGGUGAAGAUCAAGAUACCAUCCAUGUGCUGGAUAGGUCUCAGAUAGGUGGGCAUCAAGUUCAGCUUUCAUGGAGCCUACUCCUCAUCAGAACAAGCAGGUUCAUGUACAGAGUUAAUUGCUUGGCCGUUGAUGCAUGAAGUAGGGUCAAUUGAGCUGAGGUUUGCUAGCUGUCCUCGCUCGUUGUCCUUCAACCUUUUAAUUGAUUUUUAUAGCACAAAAUAUGCUUCCAAAGUGAAUUUUUAAGUAAAAGAAUAAAAUCAGAUCAUUUUGGAUGUGUCUGAAAUCUGAAUUUACGGCUGAAAACAAGCUCUUAAUGAUUCUCUGAACUUGAACAUGUCCCUGAAACUGAAUAAAAUUUAUGUAAAGAAUAUUGAGGACAAAUUUAUCAGGUGUAUACAAUAUGAUUGCUCUAUUUAGAGAUUUGUGCCAUUUCAGCACCCUGCCUGUAUAUCUCUAAAAUCUGGCUACUAUAUUAUUGCAGAGACAAAUUAGUAAUAAUCUGAUAUAAAGUAAGAGGACAAACCAGAACAAAUUGUCUUUCACAGAUAUCUUUUAUGCACAUAAAAAGAAAAGGGUUUGUCAAAUUAACUCCUUUUUGCUACAGGUUUCAGUAUUGUCUAUUAAAUCUAAUGUGCUUCUAAUUAAUCCUAUAUACACAAUAUGCUAAAUUUUCAGUAUUUUAAGCACUGUGCUACCAUUUGCAGAAAAAUAAUUGGUUAAUAAACUAACAGUACACUGCUAUUACCAGCUGUUCUGAUAAGUGGUACUUAGUUGGGUGUUGUAAGUAUGCAGGUAGAAAGUGAUAAUAGAAAAGUGUGCCAAUCAAAGAGCUGUUGUGGGUUCCCAGUGACAAAAAAGAUGAGUCUUUAGAAGGACUUCUAGAGCAAAGUGUUACAGCAAGGUUUGUUGAAAAUUUAGGAGUUGGCACAAGAAUGGAAGAAGACGGAACAUAUCUACUAUAGUAUAUGCGAGAUUAUGCAAUGCAAUACAAGAAGGGGAGAAGAUGGGAACUCUGAAUUAUCGAAGUCACCAACAAUAACUUUUGAUGAAGUAGUACAACAAGGUUUUAGGCAUAUGCUGCACUUUCUUUUCUGCUCCAAUGCGAUGGUGACGGAAGAAUCAUAGUUGUAAGCAAAAAAUUUAGUGGACAAUAUGAAUAUGCACAUCUGAAAUUUGUGAUUCUUUUUUGUAUAGAUAGUCUUUUUGAAGGAGCUAUAACCUUGCUCUGCAUCUUACUCUGCCACUGAGACCGCUAACCAUCUUGUUUGGAGAUAACACUUAAUGUAUACUAUGAUUUAAGUCUGUUGUGUAGUAUAGAUGCAUGUUACAUUUUUUUAAAAUCACAAACCAUAUUUCACUUAAAAUGCUUGAUCUGGAUGGAAUAUUUACAACCCACCGACCAUGUGUUUGUAAAAGCUCUUUAAUAUAUUUUUAAUUUAUUUUUCAUUAGUAAUUCCCUUUUUUCAGCAAAUGUGAGCAUUUCAGUAGAUUAUUAAAACUAUAUAAGAAGAUAUCGGUGAUUAAAAUAAACCUCAUUAUCAUCAUAUCAUUUUUAUGUACGUUCAGUAUUUUUUUUAUCAUUUGUAGUUGUCUCAUAAAAUAACUUAUAGUGGAGAACCUUCUAUGCCAAUUUGAGAAUUUGAUUGUCAUGUGCACCCACACAUAUGUCAUGUUAUACACAUAUGCCAUCAUGCCAUCAUGGAUCUACCCUAUAGUUCAACAAAUCCUUUUACUCAUUCAUCAUUCAUCAUAUCACAUAUCUAAUGGUUUAAAAUCAUCCAAUCCAACGCCUCAGAUUACCCCACCUCUCCCCCUCCUCUCCUCCCCGUACCUGAAAUGGCGAAAUCACGCCGCAUCCACCGUCCUGUCUCGCUCUUCCCUCCUCUUUCUCCCGCAUCUCCCACGCAUUUCCUCAUCGCGCUCUCUCGCCCCCUCACCGUCGUGCACUCGUGCGCCGGAUUUUUCACAGAAUCGACGCGCUCCUCCUCCGCAGUCCGCACCACCAUCGUGCCGCGCGCCUCUCCCUACCGCGAAAUAACGCCGCGCCGGCGCCCACCAUCGUCACCGCCGCCCAUCGCUCUCCACCGCGCCCCCAUUGCACCUGACGCGAAGGAGGAGCCCGAGGAGGAAGAAGAAGAACAAGGAGGCUGACGCCGACGCCUGCAGGCAAAGAAGACGACCGAGACCUUCUUGUAUGAGGGAACACCGAAGAAGUCGUCCACGCGCGGGCGACCGGGGGCGAACCCUAGCCCCCGGCCGCCGCCACCCACCCCUCCUCUCACCGCCUCGCCGCCGCCGGAAACCACGCAGACGUUGGGAUGGCGGCGGCGGGGCCAAAACCCCCGACGGCGGCUCGUCUCCGGCGCAAGGAGGUGGCACAGCGCGCCGCGAAGGCCUCGCGGCGUGUGGCUGCGGAUCCGCCGCCGCCGGAUCUGGCCCUUCCGUGGCUGGAUCCGGCCCGUCAUCACCGGAACUGACCGGUGAGCUGACGGAGCGGGCGACGGCGGCAGGUGGCGUGAGGACGGCGGCGUUUGGCGGGGGAGACAGCCGACGGGAGACGCGGGCGACGCCGCGGCUGGAACUUGCUGACAGGAGGUGGUACGGCUCCGGCCGCUGCGGGUACCUCCCCCUCCGCCACCCACCACACGUCGCCCCCCGGCAGAUUCACCGCCUGCCUGCUCGCCGUCGCCGCCAUCACCACCAUCUUCGCCCUCGCCCUCACCCUCCACCGCCCUGACCUCUCCGCCGCCUCGCCACGGUGAGCGCCCGCCCCCCCUUGCUCCCUCCACCAAUUGCUCACGGGUGCGGUUCGCGAUCAACGCGGAGGACAGCCUCAACAACAGGUUCAGGCCCAUCCAGGGGCUCACCACCGACGCCGUCUUCUCCGUUGACGACGACCUCAUCGUGCCGUGCUCCACGCUGCGGUUUGCCUUCGCCGUGUGGCAGAGUGCGCUCUCUGCCAUGGUGGGCUUCGUGCCCCGGAUGCACUGGCUUACUGACCCGGUAUGCACAAAUGCACUCAAACACACGACCAUUUCUGAAUUUUUAGUGCACCAUGAGUAAUCUUUGAAUUUGUGGUGCAUCAUGAGUAAUCUCUGAAUUUCUGAACUUUUGGUGCAUCAUGAGUAAUCUGUGCACUAAUUGAGGAUGGCUACACAUUAAAUAGCUACUCAUCUCUUGCAAUUACCAACAUAAGUAAAGUACUUAGCACAAUGUUAGCCUUUUGUGCUUGCUUCAUCCCUUGUGCUUUAGGCAUGAUGAACAAUAGAAUAAUAGAUUAUCAUCCCGGCCAACACACGGGAACUGGCUUUACGUCGCCACUGCUUGUGACCUGCUUGAUGGAAUGCUUGCCUUGGAGUUCUUAAAUAUAUUAUCAAAAUGUACAUAUAUGCCUUAAAUUACAUCUUAUAGUACCCAUAUGAAUGUAUAUACUUAUACUUAUAGUACCCAUAUGAAUACAAGCAUGUGUUUAGUAAAAUGCUAACAAGGUGCAUAGACCUGUCUAGGGCAUUGGGCAAUGACAUGUCAUCAUUUCUUAAGUCUUGUUUACUGUCCUUCUAUGCAUCUAUCUAAUUAGCUCCAUGAUAAAUAAUUUUGAGUUACAUGGAUGCUUCAUUGAACAGAAGCUUCUACAGCUUUGAUUAUUUAUCAUGGCUUAAAACCUUUCAUUUCUUCUAUCGUUGUGCAAAGUUAGAAAAGGAUAUUAGCAACAUGAACAUCAUGCCAUCAUGGAUAUUCCAAUUUUUUGACCAAAAUUUAGAUGUGUAUCUAUACUUUAUUAUAACAGCACCAGCAUCAGUUUGGCUAUACAUGGAGCGUUGAUACAAGUAGUCCUAGCUAGCGCUUGAUUUGAUCAAACACCUCAUAUUUGAAGUUGGAUCCUUACCUCCAAGUCUCCCCAAAACAAAUAAUUUGUGCUUUAAAGGCAUCAAUUUAAAAUUUUCUGAUAUAUGAUUGCUAGAUGAUACAGGACAUCAUGGCCAUUCGUGAUUUGAUCAGAAGUCCAUCAAUUUAAUGCGUUUAACAAAGUCUUUUUAAUGACUUUGCUCCCAGAAAAUUCUGCCUACUCUCUAGCCAUCUCCCUGGGCGAACCCAGUCCCAUUACUAUCCUCGCAUGGAUUCCGUUUUCUUUGUCCCCUUGCCAGCGCUAGACUGAUUGUUAAAUUUAUUCUUGAUUAGAGUGCUUCUCCUUUCAGCAACUGUCAGUAUCUGAAAACUCAUAUUUUCUAUGCACAUGAUUUUGAAGUUUUAAAAAAUAUUUGACUAGAUGCCUCACAAAUGUGAUGUUUGUUGAAUCCACAAAAUGCUUUGGACAUAACAUAAGACUAUAGUUUCAGUGAUGUUCAGUGGCGAAUCCAGGGUGUAAAUUGAGGAGGUGCUAGUGUAAAAAAUAUUAUACUCCCUCCGUCCCUAAAUAUUUGACGCCGUUGACUUUUUUAAACAUGUUUGACCGUUCAUCUUAUUGAAAACUUUUGUGAAACAUAUAAAACUAUAUGUAUACAUAAAAGUAUAUUUAACAAUGAAUCAAAUGAUAGGAAAAGAAUUAAUAAUUACUUAAAAUUUUUAAUAAGACGAACGGUCAAAUAUAUUUAAAAAAGUCAACGGCAUAAAUAUUUAGGGAUGGAGGGAGUAUGAUUAAAACAAAUAAAGGUAUAUCAACUAAAGUAUUUUCCAAUGAAAACCAAAUGUGCAUAUGAUAAAAAAAAACUCUCUAUUUUGAUUUGUGGCUAUAUUAAAAUAUUCACAAAUAUAUGUGAAUAUAUUGUUAUUUAUACUUGGAGGAUGUUCUGUUUUAUCAGUUUGGGCAGUAGAAGAACUAAGGUAGCCUGUGCUAUUCGGGAAAUUUCUUCACUAAUGACUAAUUAGAUUUGUUAAUAACUAAUUAAGAGCAGGGAUUAGAGGUGGGGCUGGCACACCAACCAGCCCCAACAGUGAAUCCGCCACUGGUGAUGUUGUAUUUCGAAUGUUCAUAAAGCAUGCUGUCAGAUUAUCUGUACAGCAUAUAUUCCUGUUGCCUUAAAUCCAUCAUGAUUUUUCAGGUUUUGGAUGUCACACGUCUUCACAAUGUUAACAACUUGCUUAGCCUACAUUAUUUCCAUAUUGUUUAGUGUUUACUGAGUACUGACCAUAGCAAAUCUUGUUUGCAUGGAUGAAUCACAUUCACAAUCCAAUGGCCUUGUCCUCUUGAUUGACUAUGUCUAAGCUCUUCCCCUUUUUAGUGUUUUUCUAUUUGGAUUCCAUGAAGGGCUAUACUACUGCACAUGUCACACUUGAUGCCAGGUAUGUUCAAAUGUAGAAGAGAUUAAUUCUAGCAAUUUCGUUCUACAGUUGAUUGCAGAUUGUAAAGUUCAGUGAACCACCCUUUGACAUCAGAAACCUCCCACUAGUGUGUCUAUCUAAUCCGUUGAUGCUUUCUUUAGUUAGACAAACUAUGUGUGUUCUGAGUUAGAAUAUAAUAUCCUGGAUCUUCUGUGUUCUGUGCAUGUCUCUUUGUGUAUAUAUGCUUGGAGUCAUGCUGUAAUGAUCUUCAAUUUUGUCCAAGAUUACCACUAUCCAUGAGAACAUCUGCUAUUGCUUUAUUUGGAUUUUUUGGUGAUCUAUGAGAUUUUACUAUAUCCUAUACUGUUCAGAUAGCCUGAAAUUCUGAAAUCGUUUUCUUCAGGAGCUAUGUUAUUCCUGUUUAGUUUUUAUAUUAUGAGAAAUAUGUGGAUCAUUUAUACCCUGGGUUGAACUGCACUUAACUUCUCCUGAAGACCAUGUGUUGCCUCUAUAUUUCCAUCAUAUCUUGUGCCAUUGUUUGUUCUGAGGGCUGUAGUUAAACUCAUUUUUUUUUUCCUGUUGGACUGCUGUGUUUUCCCCUGAUUUUUCCAUGGUUAUGUGUUUAUAAUUUUACUCCUUUGACUUGACAUCUAUUUGUAGCACAAACGGAUAAGGAAUCAGAGUUGUACAUUUUAUUUUCUAGCAGUUAUCCAUGGGAUGGCAGCUGGGAGGCAUCUGACCCUGGCUGGUAAGACAUACAAGUGCCCCUCUGCAGCUGUAAAAUUCAGUCCUGAAUCUUUUCACUUAAUUUAUAUCUGUAGUGUUAGCAGAACAAUAUGAUCAUUAGCCAUUGAGAUGAUGUAGCAGGCAGUCAUAUGAGAUUUUUUUGGACCUCAAUGUUAGCAUGGCCCAUUUCCUGAUUAAUUGGACUGGUUGAUCUGCAAAGGUUGGUCUUGUUAGCUGAAGUGACACCAUAUGCAGCUUAUUACCUUGAUAAAAAUGGGAGCAAUGCUCUCAUGCGUUUUUGAGGGAAAAAAAGAGGAAGCAGUGUCAACGGAAACUGAUCCUUACUGCAGAGGUGCAUCAAUACUGAAAUGAGUCUUGUGCUACAGUUAAUUGUAGUAAAUCACUACAGCAGUAGCAAUGGUGUUUCCAGUGUAGUGCAGACAACUUCUGUUACUGUAGAAUUUCAACUGGAAAGUACACCUCUGAUCUGAUGUUCAGAAUUGAUCCUAAAACAUGACCCAAAAUUGAUGCCGACUCAAGUGAACUUGUCAAGAGUCUACGUGACAAGUUGCUUCUGUAUUUAAAGUUGGUGAUGAUAAUGCCAAAAUUCUGGUGCAUGAAGGUUCUCUAACCCGUUGUUGGAUGGGUUUUAAGAAAAAUAAGUUGUCAACCGAUUUUUAUUGUAAAUCAUUCUAGGAAACAUACUCCAAACUACUAUGAAUUUUCCUGGUUAUUUAUUUAA